This 458-nucleotide ribosomal RNA is filed under the name uncultured bacterium. Its description in RNAcentral is "partial 16S ribosomal RNA". It matches the Rfam family "Bacterial small subunit ribosomal RNA", at positions 338 to 795 of the family's 1533-position model. The record is from RNAcentral.
CCUACGGGAGACAGCAGUGGGGAAUAUUGCACAAUGGGGGAAACCCUGAUGCAGCGACGCCGCGUGAGUGAAGAAGUAAUUCGUUACGUAAAGCUCUAUCAGCAGGGAAGAAACACUGACCUUAUGACCAGCAGACGGUACCUGAGUAAGAAGCACCGGCUAACUACGUGCCAGCAGCCUCGGUAAUACGUAGGGGGCAAGCGUUAACCGGAUUUAUUGGGCGUAAAGGGAGCGUAGACGGUGCCCCAAGUCUGGAGUUAAAUGCCGCCGCUUAACUGCGGAACUGCUUGGGAAACUGGGGAACUAGAGUGCGGGAGGGGUAAGCGGAAUUCCUGGUGUAGCGGUGAAAUGCGUAGAUAUAAGGAGGAACACCGGUGGCGAAGGCGGCUUACUGGACCGUAACUGACGUUGAGGCUCGAAAGCGUGGGGAGCAAACAGGAUUAGAUACCCCAGUAGUC